Molecule: ribosomal RNA, 2787 nt
Filed under: Escherichia coli
Lineage: Bacteria; Pseudomonadati; Pseudomonadota; Gammaproteobacteria; Enterobacterales; Enterobacteriaceae
Description: bacterial LSU rRNA
Rfam family: Bacterial large subunit ribosomal RNA
Source: RNAcentral
AGCGUACACGGUGGAUGCCCUGGCAGUCAGAGGCGAUGAAGGACGUGCUAAUCUGCGAUAAGCGUCGGUAAGGUGAUAUGAACCGUUAUAACCGGCGAUUUCCGAAUGGGGAAACCCAGUGUGUUUCGACACACUAUCAUUAACUGAAUCCAUAGGUUAAUGAGGCGAACCGGGGGAACUGAAACAUCUAAGUACCCCGAGGAAAAGAAAUCAACCGAGAUUCCCCCAGUAGCGGCGAGCGAACGGGGAGCAGCCCAGAGCCUGAAUCAGUGUGUGUGUUAGUGGAAGCGUCUGGAAAGGCGCGCGAUACAGGGUGACAGCCCCGUACACAAAAAUGCACAUGCUGUGAGCUCGAUGAGUAGGGCGGGACACGUGGUAUCCUGUCUGAAUAUGGGGGGACCAUCCUCCAAGGCUAAAUACUCCUGACUGACCGAUAGUGAACCAGUACCGUGAGGGAAAGGCGAAAAGAACCCCGGCGAGGGGAGUGAAAAAGAACCUGAAACCGUGUACGUACAAGCAGUGGGAGCACGCUUAGGCGUGUGACUGCGUACCUUUUGUAUAAUGGGUCAGCGACUUAUAUUCUGUAGCAAGGUUAACCGAAUAGGGGAGCCGAAGGGAAACCGAGUCUUAACUGGGCGUUAAGUUGCAGGGUAUAGACCCGAAACCCGGUGAUCUAGCCAUGGGCAGGUUGAAGGUUGGGUAACACUAACUGGAGGACCGAACCGACUAAUGUUGAAAAAUUAGCGGAUGACUUGUGGCUGGGGGUGAAAGGCCAAUCAAACCGGGAGAUAGCUGGUUCUCCCCGAAAGCUAUUUAGGUAGCGCCUCGUGAACUCAUCUCCGGGGGUAGAGCACUGUUUCGGCAAGGGGGUCAUCCCGACUUACCAACCCGAUGCAAACUGCGAAUACCGGAGAAUGUUAUCACGGGAGACACACGGCGGGUGCUAACGUCCGUCGUGAAGAGGGAAACAACCCAGACCGCCAGCUAAGGUCCCAAAGUCAUGGUUAAGUGGGAAACGAUGUGGGAAGGCCCAGACAGCCAGGAUGUUGGCUUAGAAGCAGCCAUCAUUUAAAGAAAGCGUAAUAGCUCACUGGUCGAGUCGGCCUGCGCGGAAGAUGUAACGGGGCUAAACCAUGCACCGAAGCUGCGGCAGCGACGCUUAUGCGUUGUUGGGUAGGGGAGCGUUCUGUAAGCCUGUGAAGGUGUGCUGUGAGGCAUGCUGGAGGUAUCAGAAGUGCGAAUGCUGACAUAAGUAACGAUAAAGCGGGUGAAAAGCCCGCUCGCCGGAAGACCAAGGGUUCCUGUCCAACGUUAAUCGGGGCAGGGUGAGUCGACCCCUAAGGCGAGGCCGAAAGGCGUAGUCGAUGGGAAACAGGUUAAUAUUCCUGUACUUGGUGUUACUGCGAAGGGGGGACGGAGAAGGCUAUGUUGGCCGGGCGACGGUUGUCCCGGUUUAAGCGUGUAGGCUGGUUUUCCAGGCAAAUCCGGAAAAUCAAGGCUGAGGCGUGAUGACGAGGCACUACGGUGCUGAAGCAACAAAUGCCCUGCUUCCAGGAAAAGCCUCUAAGCAUCAGGUAACAUCAAAUCGUACCCCAAACCGACACAGGUGGUCAGGUAGAGAAUACCAAGGCGCUUGAGAGAACUCGGGUGAAGGAACUAGGCAAAAUGGUGCCGUAACUUCGGGAGAAGGCACGCUGAUAUGUAGGUGAAGUCCCUUGCGGAUGGAGCUGAAAUCAGUCGAAGAUACCAGCUGGCUGCAACUGUUUAUUAAAAACACAGCACUGUGCAAACACGAAAGUGGACGUAUACGGUGUGACGCCUGCCCGGUGCCGGAAGGUUAAUUGAUGGGGUCAGCGCAAGCGAAGCUCUUGAUCGAAGCCCCGGUAAACGGCGGCCGUAACUAUAACGGUCCUAAGGUAGCGAAAUUCCUUGUCGGGUAAGUUCCGACCUGCACGAAUGGCGUAAUGAUGGCCAGGCUGUCUCCACCCGAGACUCAGUGAAAUUGAACUCGCUGUGAAGAUGCAGUGUACCCGCGGCAAGACGGAAAGACCCCGUGAACCUUUACUAUAGCUUGACACUGAACAUUGAGCCUUGAUGUGUAGGAUAGGUGGGAGGCUUUGAAGUGUGGACGCCAGUCUGCAUGGAGCCGACCUUGAAAUACCACCCUUUAAUGUUUGAUGUUCUAACGUUGACCCGUAAUCCGGGUUGCGGACAGUGUCUGGUGGGUAGUUUGACUGGGGCGGUCUCCUCCUAAAGAGUAACGGAGGAGCACGAAGGUUGGCUAAUCCUGGUCGGACAUCAGGAGGUUAGUGCAAUGGCAUAAGCCAGCUUGACUGCGAGCGUGACGGCGCGAGCAGGUGCGAAAGCAGGUCAUAGUGAUCCGGUGGUUCUGAAUGGAAGGGCCAUCGCUCAACGGAUAAAAGGUACUCCGGGGAUAACAGGCUGAUACCGCCCAAGAGUUCAUAUCGACGGCGGUGUUUGGCACCUCGAUGUCGGCUCAUCACAUCCUGGGGCUGAAGUAGGUCCCAAGGGUAUGGCUGUUCGCCAUUUAAAGUGGUACGCGAGCUGGGUUUAGAACGUCGUGAGACAGUUCGGUCCCUAUCUGCCGUGGGCGCUGGAGAACUGAGGGGGGCUGCUCCUAGUACGAGAGGACCGGAGUGGACGCAUCACUGGUGUUCGGGUUGUCAUGCCAAUGGCACUGCCCGGUAGCUAAAUGCGGAAGAGAUAAGUGCUGAAAGCAUCUAAGCACGAAACUUGCCCCGAGAUGAGUUCUCCCUGACUCCUUGA